UGGGGAAUAUUGCACAAUGGGCGCAAGCCUGAUGCAGCCAUGCCGCGUGUGUGAAGAAGGCCUUCGGGUUGUAAAGCACUUUCAGCGAGGAGGAAGGUGGUGGACUUAAUACGUUCAUCAAUUGACGUUACUCGCAGAAGAAGCACCGGCUAACUCCGUGCCAGCAGCCGCGGUAAUACGGAGGGUGCAAGCGUUAAUCGGAAUUACUGGGCGUAAAGCGCACGCAGGCGGUUUGUUAAGUCAGAUGUGAAAUCCCCGGGCUCAACCUGGGAACUGCAUUUGAAACUGGCAAGCUAGAGUCUCGUAGAGGGGGGUAGAAUUCCAGGUGUAGCGGUGAAAUGCGUAGAGAUCUGGAGGAAUACCGGUGGCGAAGGCGGCCCCCCUGGACGAAGACUGACGCUCAGGUGCGAAAGCGUGGGGAGCAAACAGAUUAGAUACCCUGGUAGUCCACGCUGUAAACGAUGUCGAUUUUGGAGGUUGUGCCCCUUGAGGCGUGGCUUCCGGAGCUAACGCGUUAAAUCGACCG
RNAcentral lists this ribosomal RNA (526 nucleotides) under uncultured bacterium. RNAcentral's name for it is "partial 16S ribosomal RNA". It matches the Rfam family "Bacterial small subunit ribosomal RNA", at positions 355 to 871 of the family's 1533-position model. The record is from RNAcentral.